AUGACGAUGCCUAUCCGUCGAGGCGGUGGAGUCAGCCGCGGCCGCGUACAGGGUGCAACGCCCCCGGUGCCGUCGAGACCGUUGAGCCGCGGACCAAGCAUCGUCGAUGCCGCCGAUUCUUCUCGGAGGGUUUCUCUGCUGCUUGCCUCGCGUUGCAUUGGUUUGCUGCUUGCUUUGCCUUGCUGUGUCUUCAGUUUCAGUUGUGCAGAAACUGUAAUUUUAGUUGUGCAGACAGCAGAGAAGCAGCAACAACAGAGAAACAGCAACAAUGGAGAAGCAGCAACAGUAGGAGAAAUGCCAGAUUGA
This 306-nucleotide ribosomal RNA is filed under the name Triticum aestivum (bread wheat). RNAcentral's name for it is "partial small subunit ribosomal RNA". The record is from RNAcentral. Lineage: Eukaryota; Viridiplantae; Streptophyta; Magnoliopsida; Poales; Poaceae.